Molecule: transfer RNA, 73 nt
Filed under: Stegodyphus mimosarum
Lineage: Eukaryota; Metazoa; Arthropoda; Arachnida; Araneae; Eresidae
Rfam family: tRNA
About the family: Transfer RNA (tRNA) molecules are approximately 80 nucleotides in length.
Source: Rfam by way of RNAcentral
GCCUUCGUGGUGUAGUGGUCAGCACGCUCGACGUGUAUUCGAGAGGUCCGUGGUUCGAGUCCCGGAGAGGGCA